UUUUGGCUGGUACGGUUCCGUUCUGUUCCGCCUUGGCGCCCUUGGCCGCGGGGGCAAUGUUUUUGUUUUCGUUCUACGUUCAGGUGUUGAGUGGCGACGUAUUAACCGUCGAUAACCAGCUGAAGCAGCUCAAGUUCUCGAGUGGAACGAGGUUGACCGUGCGCAGUGGCAGCCGUUCACAACAAAAACAAUGUAUGCACUCAGUUUCGCCGGAUGAGUGCCGGCGUCGAUCGCGAACCGCCAGAGCCGCCAAAUACCUCUCGUACAUCUCCAAGAACACCAAGAACAGGAGGUAUUCAUAAAGGUCUGAACCACGCGAGGAUCGUCUCGAAGCGACGCUUGCCGCCACACGCGAGGAGAAAGCAGGAGGCCCGAAGUUUGAAUGUGAAGAGGAGGUGCGAAGAGCUGGCCCUCACUUUUUCAAGGCAGCCGCAGAACACUACGAGCCCCGAAUCACUGCCGCGGCUGACUCACGCGGAUGCUGUGCUGCACUCUGCACUGCACAUGGUUCGAAGCACACUUCAGGGGACCAGUGCAUGCCCCUGAUGCAUCGUCGCGAAGCACUGUAUGGCUCUCUGCACGCUAGAAUGGGGGCUGUCGUUGAUGCUCGCAGAGGCGUCGCCCACAACUAAGCAGACGACCAAAGUCCUGAGCAGGUCCCGGGGAUCAUGGCAUCGAUGAGCUCGCUUUCGCCUUGUCCAAGGUAGCAGUGGAACACUACGGGCAGGCCCGGAGUCACCGCACCGGCUGGCUCACGGGCGUCGUCCUGUACUCUGCACGGCACUGCGUGUGGCUUAACCGGCCAAGCAGAGGGUCACUGCAUGACCUUUAUGAGGCGUCGCUAGCCAUUGUUUCAAAUCGUCCUGAUUCAUGGGCCAAGCCUUUCAAGACUGCACUCUUAGGCCCAGUCCUUUUUGGUGGAUCGGAUCUUGCCAUCUUCCCCUCUCGUGGCUUCCUGUUGUACUUAAAUAAAUUGUCAUAUUUUUUUCU
Molecule: unclassified non-coding RNA, 990 nt
Filed under: Ixodes scapularis (black-legged tick)
Lineage: Eukaryota; Metazoa; Arthropoda; Arachnida; Ixodida; Ixodidae
Description: uncharacterized LOC115314188, transcript variant X3
Source: RNAcentral